RNAcentral lists this ribosomal RNA (690 nucleotides) under Pseudoterranova sp. 64.3.5. RNAcentral's name for it is "eukaryotic LSU rRNA". It matches the Rfam family "Eukaryotic large subunit ribosomal RNA", at positions 108 to 635 of the family's 3401-position model. The record is from RNAcentral. Lineage: Eukaryota; Metazoa; Nematoda; Chromadorea; Rhabditida; Anisakidae.
CCCAGCGCUGAAUCCAUCGGUCACUGGCCGCUUGGAACUGUAGCGUAUAGGUGCGGCUGUCUGGCUGUUUCGUUCACCCAAAGUCCCCUUGAGCGGGGCCAUAAUCCAAAGAAGGUGCGAGACCUGUACGGGUGGCGAGAUGGUCGGUUGGUUGCUCCUUGGAGUCGGGUUGCCUGAAAUCGCAGCCCAAAGUUGGUGGUAGACCUCAUCUAAGGCUAAAUAUGGCCACGAAACCGAUAGCAAACAAGUACCGUGAGGGAAAGUUGCAAAGAACUUUGAAGAGAGAGUUCAAGAGGGCGUGAAACCGCUGAGAUGGAAACGGAUAGAGUUGACGAAACUCGGCCGCAUUCAUCCGAUCGGCCUAGCGGCUCGGUGGCGCUGACUUCCUCGAUGAGGGCGACGCUAUCGAUGUCUGUUGGGCAUUUGAUCGGUGUAUUUGCGGCUGGUAUGCGCUGAGAGCUUUGUGGGCGCUUGUUGACGGACGCGUAGAGGACCAGUCCCUCCGGGAGUGGAACCCUGCGUGUUCUGAGGCAGGUCGUCCAUAGGGUAUUGCAACGUGACGUCUCAACUGAGGUGCGUCGGCCUUUUUGGGCUGUUGGGGCUGCUGGGUGAUCGCAUGCGAGAACCUGUGGCUUCCGGCGGCACAUGAGGGUGCGGACGCGCUGAGACGUGCAUCUCGGUGUGAACGUC